CCCCGAGGCCACGCUGCCCUGAACGCGCCCGAUCCCGGCCGAUCUCAGAAGCUAAGUAGGGUCGGGCCUGGUGAGUACUCAGAUGAGAGACCAUCUAGGAAGACCGGGUGCUGCAGGCG
Molecule: ribosomal RNA, 119 nt
Filed under: Pteropus alecto (black flying fox)
Lineage: Eukaryota; Metazoa; Chordata; Mammalia; Chiroptera; Pteropodidae
Source: RNAcentral